CCUACGGGAGGCAGCAGUGAGGAAUAUUGGUCAAUGGGCGGAAGCCUGAACCAGCCAAGUCGCGUGAGGGAUUAAGGCCCUGCGGGUCGUAAACCUCUUUUGCCGGGGAGCAGGGGGCCGGACGCGUCCGGACCGGGAGAGGACCCGGAGAAAAAGCAGCGGCUAACUCCGGGCCAGCAGCCGCGGUAAUACGGCGGAUGCGAGCGUUAACCGGAUUGAUUGGGUUGAAAGGGUGCGUAGGCGGGCAUUUAAGCCGGCGGUCAAAUGUCGGGGCUCAACCCCGGCCUGCCGUCGGAACUGGGUGCCUUGCGUGGGCGAGCAGUCUGCGGAAUGCGUGGUGUAGCCGUGCAAUGCAUAGAUAUCACGCAGAACCCCGAUUGC
RNAcentral lists this ribosomal RNA (381 nucleotides) under uncultured bacterium. Its description in RNAcentral is "partial 16S ribosomal RNA". It matches the Rfam family "Bacterial small subunit ribosomal RNA", at positions 338 to 716 of the family's 1533-position model. The record is from RNAcentral.